This 274-nucleotide ribosomal RNA is filed under the name uncultured bacterium. RNAcentral describes it as "partial 16S ribosomal RNA". It matches the Rfam family "Archaeal small subunit ribosomal RNA", at positions 473 to 747 of the family's 1478-position model. The record is from RNAcentral.
AUACCAGCCCCGCGAGUGGUCGGGACGUUUACGGGGCCUAAAGCGUCCGUAGCCGGCCCGACAAGUCUCCGCCUAAAGCCUCGGGCUCAACCCGAGGAGUGGCGGAGAUACUGUCGGGCUAGGGGGCGGGAGAGGCCGAGGGUACUCCCGGGGUAGGGGCGAAAUCCUGUAAUCCCGGGAGGACCACCAGUGGCGAAGACGCUCGGCUGGAACGCGCCCGACGGUGAGGGACGAAAGCCGGGGGAGUGAACCGGAUUAGAAACCCCGGUAGUCC